Molecule: ribosomal RNA, 257 nt
Filed under: uncultured bacterium
Lineage: Bacteria
Description: partial 16S ribosomal RNA
Rfam family: Bacterial small subunit ribosomal RNA
Source: RNAcentral
UAAUACGGGGGGUGCGAGCGUUAAUCGGAAUUAUUGGGCGUAAAGGGUGCGUAGGUUGUUGUAUAAGUUAUCUGUAAAAGUCCUGGGCUUAACCUGGGGAUGAGAGAUAAGACUGUUCGACUAGAGUAUGGGAGAGGGUAGUGGAAUUUCCGGUGUAGCGGUGAAAUGCGUAGAGAUCGGAAGGAACACCGGUGGCGAAGGCGGCUACCUGGCCUAAUACUGACACUGAGGCACGAAAGCGUGGGGAGCAAACAGGA